CCUACGGGUGACAGCAGUGGGGAAUAUUGGGCAAUGGAGGAAACUCUGACCCAGCAAUGCCGCGUGAAUGAAGAAGGUCUUCGGAUUGUAAAGUUCUUUAGUCAGGGAAGAAGUCAAUGACGGUACCUGAAGAAUAAGCUCCGGCUAACUACGUGCCAGCAGCCGCGGUAAUACGUAGGGAGCAAGCGUUGUUCGGAAUGACUGGGCGUAAAGGGUGCGUAGGCGGUUGUACAAGUUAGAAGUGAAAUACCCAGGGCUUAACUCGGGUGCUGCUUCUAAAACUGUAUGACUUGAGUGCAGUAGAGGUUAGUGGAAUUCCGUGUGUAGCGGUGAAAUGCGUAGAUAUACGGAGGAACACCAGUGGCGAAGGCGGCCUGCUGGACAUUAACUGACGCUGAGGAGCGAAAGCGUGGGGAGCAAACAGGAUUAGAUACCCUUGUAGUC
This 444-nucleotide ribosomal RNA is filed under the name uncultured bacterium. Its description in RNAcentral is "partial 16S ribosomal RNA". It matches the Rfam family "Bacterial small subunit ribosomal RNA", at positions 338 to 795 of the family's 1533-position model. The record is from RNAcentral.